UGGGGAAUAUUGGACAAUGGGCGCAAGCCUGAUCCAGCGAUGCCGCGUGUGUGAAGAAGGCCUGCGGGUUGUAAAGCACUUUUUAGCGAGGACGAGGUUUUAGGGGGUUAAUAGGUCUCUAAGAUGACGGUACUCGCAGAAAAAGCACCGGCUAACUCUGUGCCAGCAGCCGCGGUAAUACAGAGGGUGCAAGCGUUAAUCGGAAUGACUGGGCGUAAAGCGCGCGUAGGUGGUUUGUUAAGUUGGAUGUGAAAUCCCCGGGCUCAACCUGGGAACUGCAUUCAAAACUGACUGACUAGAGUAUGGUAGAGGGUGGUGGAAUUUCCUGUGUAGCGGUGAAAUGCGUAGAUAUAGGAAGGAACACCAGUGGCGAAGGCGACCACCUGGACUGAUACUGACACUGAGGUGCGAAAGCGUGGGGAGCAAACAGGAUUAGAUACCCCGGUAGUCCCUGAGCGGGCUGGCAAGGCGCAU
Molecule: ribosomal RNA, 474 nt
Filed under: uncultured bacterium
Lineage: Bacteria
Description: bacterial SSU rRNA
Rfam family: Bacterial small subunit ribosomal RNA
Source: RNAcentral